RNAcentral lists this ribosomal RNA (253 nucleotides) under uncultured bacterium. RNAcentral's name for it is "partial 16S ribosomal RNA". It matches the Rfam family "Bacterial small subunit ribosomal RNA", at positions 524 to 776 of the family's 1533-position model. The record is from RNAcentral.
UACGGAGGAUGCAAGCGUUGUCCGGGUUCAUUGGGUUUAAAGGGUGCGUAGGCGGAGAAUUAAGUUAGUGGUGAAAGCUCGCAGCUUAACUGUGAAAAUGCCAUUGAAACUGAUUUUCUUGAGUUCGAUUGAGGUAGAUGGAAUGUAUCAUGUAGCGGUGAAAUGCUUAGAUAUGAUACAGAACACCAAUUGCGAAGGCAGUCUACUAAGUCGAUACUGCCGCUGAGGCACGAAAGCAUGGGGAGCAAACAGG